This 493-nucleotide ribosomal RNA is filed under the name uncultured bacterium. RNAcentral describes it as "partial 16S ribosomal RNA". It matches the Rfam family "Bacterial small subunit ribosomal RNA", at positions 30 to 523 of the family's 1533-position model. The record is from RNAcentral.
AUUGAACGCUGGCGGCAUGCCUUACACAUGCAAGUCGAACGGUAACAGGUUAAGCUGACGAGUGGCGAACGGGUGAGUAAUAUAUCGGAACGUGCCCAGUCGUGGGGGAUAACGUAGCGAAAGCUACGCUAAUACCGCAUACGAUCUACGGAUGAAAGUGGGGGAUCGCAAGACCUCGCGCGAUUGGAGCGGCCGAGUUCAGAUUAGGUUGUUGGUGAGGUAAAAGCUCACCAAGCCUGCGAUCUGUAGCUGGUCUGAGAGGACGACCAGCCACACUGGAACUGAGACACGGUCCAGACUCCUACGGGAGGCAGCAGUGGGGAAUUUUGGACAAUGGACGCAAGUCUGAUCCAGCAAUGCCGCGUGCAGGACGAAGGCCUUCGGGUUGUAAACUGCUUUUGUACGGAACGAAACGGUGAGCUCUAAUACAGUUUGCUAAUGACGGUACCGUAAGAAUAAGCACCGGCUAACUACGUGCCAGCCGCCGCGGUAA